UUGGCAUGAUGAGGAAAGAAAUACUGUGUCUGAUCUAAGUGAUGAGAAAUACCUCCUACUCAUUCUGA
This 68-nucleotide small nucleolar RNA is filed under the name Sorghum bicolor (sorghum). RNAcentral's name for it is "snoRNA snoZ105". It matches the Rfam family "Small nucleolar RNA Z105". From Rfam's summary of the family: This family consists of several snoRNA Z105 sequences which are members of the C/D class of snoRNA which contain the C (UGAUGA) and D (CUGA) box motifs. This family seems to be found exclusively in plants. The record is from Rfam by way of RNAcentral. Lineage: Eukaryota; Viridiplantae; Streptophyta; Magnoliopsida; Poales; Poaceae.